Molecule: long non-coding RNA, 1049 nt
Filed under: Struthio camelus australis
Lineage: Eukaryota; Metazoa; Chordata; Aves; Struthioniformes; Struthionidae
Description: lncRNA (ENSSCUG00000003908.1)
Source: RNAcentral
GCACAACAUUUUGUUUGACCAGUUAUAAAUUUUUUGAAUCACUGACCUAACAAAAUGUUAUUUACCUCUGUCCCAAUUCUGGAUGGGAAAACUACUCCCUUUCUGAAACUCUGUAGAAUAAUCUCAGAGUAGCUAUGACUAUGUCUUCAGUUGGCACACAGUGCCUCGCUGUAUGGACAUUAUACUGUUGUUAUAAAUAGCAAAGUAAGAACAACAUAUUAUUACUGCAUAUGAAUCACUCUUUGCUUUUCCCAUUGGGUAGAGAAUGUCCCGAGUGCUGACAGGAAGCUACUCACUCUCCAAAGGUAAAAAAGGCACAGUGCUGUUUUUAAGGAGUCUGACCUAUUGUUUCACACUACCUACCAAACAUUUGGGAUGCUGUCUUACUAAGAGUAAGAGCUUCUAAGGUUCAAAAGCACUUAGGCUACUCCUGUGCACUAAAACUUCUUAGAAGAAAAGGGAAACUUUACAGCAACAUCUAUUUCUCCUGUGACUAAAAAUGUUGGUUGUCUUUUGAAAAGCAUCCACCUCCUCAACUGGGAAGAGAAUGGGAAAAGCUGCUUCCUUUACGGAGUGGCAGAAUGCCCACCCAGCAUCUCCAAAGCUUACAUUAAAGAAGCAAGAUAGGCCACAGGUGUUUCUGAAGGGAAGUAGGAAACAGGCACCUCAAAAAUAAGAACCAUCAAAGUAACAUGCCUGUUACCUUGAAGUUAUAACUAUAACUAGUGAAACAGUGCUAGCUGACUUUCAAUAAAGUCAAAAGUCUUCUAAGCCAAUUUUGGCUUCUCUCUAGAGAGAGUUUAAAUGCUCUUAGGUCAUUUCUCCUUCUAUUACAGCAGAAGGCUAUAACUCGCAUUCUGGAUCAUGGCUACUCUGUACUGGAUUCCCCCAAGGCAACUCAAUCAUUUCCAAAAGUGGAAAAGUCUUUGAGCAAACAGCAAGAGGAAGACAAAGUGUCCAAAAAGGGCAACAAGAAAGCAAAACAAACAUCUGAAAAUCCUCCGCACUGCAGAUCUGAGGACAGAAGCAAACAGAAAAGUAGCCUGAUG